This 250-nucleotide ribosomal RNA is filed under the name uncultured bacterium. RNAcentral's name for it is "partial 16S ribosomal RNA". It matches the Rfam family "Bacterial small subunit ribosomal RNA", at positions 524 to 773 of the family's 1533-position model. The record is from RNAcentral. RNAcentral also lists the same sequence under 1 other name.
UACGUAGGUGGCAAGCGUUGUCCGGAAUUACUGGGCGUAAAGGGCGAGUAGGCGGUAAUACAAGUCAGAUGUGAAAGGCGAGGGCUCAACCCUCGGAUUGCAUUUGAAACUGUGUAACUUGAGUGCGGUAGAGGAAAGUGGAAUUCCCAGUGUAGCGGUGAAAUGCGUAGAUAUUGGGAGGAACACCAGUGGCGAAGGCGACUUUCUGGGCCGUAACUGACGCUGAGGCGCGAAAGCGUGGGGAGCGAAC